GGAAGGUAGCCGGAUACGGUUUGCCGGGCCGGUCUGCUAAACCGUGCCACCUCCUGGGUGAUGAGGGUUCAAAUCCCUUGCCUUCCG
This 87-nucleotide transfer RNA is filed under the name Planctomycetaceae bacterium. RNAcentral describes it as "tRNA-Ser". It matches the Rfam family "tRNA". From Rfam's summary of the family: Transfer RNA (tRNA) molecules are approximately 80 nucleotides in length. Their secondary structure includes four short double-helical elements and three loops (D, anti-codon, and T loops). Lineage: Bacteria; Pseudomonadati; Planctomycetota; Planctomycetia; Planctomycetales; Planctomycetaceae. The record is from RNAcentral.